GAGAGAUGAGUAGAUGACUCACGUUGUAUUCGCAAUGUGCUGGUGGGGUUCGACAGUCGUCCGAAUAAAUAGCUGUGCACUGAACUAGAUUAGAUAAGAAGCGGCGGUUAAAGAUCGCGAUCGCGACGAGUCGGCCCAAAACGCCCUUGUAAACUCAAAGGCGACGCGACGCGACAGUAACGGUAACGCGACGGCUGGCCCAAGACUGAAUUAAAAUCAGCCAACAGCUCCCAGCCUCCGUUCAUCAGGGGGUUCUGGCACAAGGCGGAGGGGGGGAUCGGUCUACACGCAUUUAUAGCGCGCGCCAACACACACACACACAUACCAGGUUAUGAUGAAUUUAGAAAGUGAACAUACCAGAACCUGAAGGGCCAGCGGUUGUGACUUCCUGUUUGACAGCGAGUCCUCUCAUGGCUGAAGUGAGCUCAUCGCUGCCCCCAGAUGCCUGCUGCCUGCCACGACUGGUGGUGGCCCGCCCCGGCAGCCCCGCCUGUGGUGCUGGCCCCGGCUGGGCCACUCUAGCCCCUCCGCCCCUUGUCGGCUGAUUGGGCUGUGUGGGUCCUGCGGGCGGCCCCCCGGCCGCUGGGGGCCUCACCCCUCUUCCCCGCCCACGUCCACGACC
This is a long non-coding RNA of Nilaparvata lugens (brown planthopper), 622 nucleotides long. RefSeq lists it as uncharacterized. The transcript has 2 exons. The record is from RefSeq and is a predicted model, not a curated record. Lineage: Eukaryota; Metazoa; Arthropoda; Insecta; Hemiptera; Delphacidae.